This 497-nucleotide ribosomal RNA is filed under the name uncultured bacterium. Its description in RNAcentral is "partial 16S ribosomal RNA". It matches the Rfam family "Bacterial small subunit ribosomal RNA", at positions 28 to 507 of the family's 1533-position model. The record is from RNAcentral.
GAUGAACGCUGGCGGCGUGCCUAAUACAUGCCAGUCGAGCGAACGGACGAGAAGCUUGCUUCUCUGAUGUUAGCGGCGGACGGGUGAGUAACAUGUGGAUAACCUACCUAUAAGACUGGGAUAACUUCGGGAAACCGUAGCUAAUACCGGAUAAUAUUUUGAACCGCAUGGUUCAAAAGUGAAAGACGGUCUUGCUGUCACUUAUAGAUGGAUCCGCGCUGCAUUAGCUAGUUGGUAAGGUAACGGCUUACCAAGGCAACGAUGCAUAGCCGACCUGAGAGGGUGAUCGGCCACACUGGAACUGAGACACGGUCCAGACUCCUACGGGAGGCAGCAGUAGGGAAUCUUCCGCAAUGGGCGAAAGCCUGACGGAGCAACGCCGCGUGAGUGAUGAAGGUCUUCGGAUCGUAAAACUCUGUUAUUAGGGAAGAACACAUGUGUAAGUAACUGUGCACAUCUUGACGGUACCUAAUCAGAAAGCCACGGCUAACUACGUG